GACGAACGCUGGCGGCGUGCUUAACACAUGCAAGUCGAACGGAAAGGCCCUGCUUGCAGGGUACUCGAGUGGCGAACGGGUGAGUAACACGUGGGUGAUCUGCCCUGCACUUCGGGAUAAGCUUGGGAAACUGGGUCUAAUACCGGAUAGGAACCAUCUUUAGUGUGGUGGUUGGAAAGUUUUUUCGGUGUAGGAUGAGCUCGCGGCCUAUCAGCUUGUUGGUGGGGUAAUGGCCUACCAAGCCGGCGACGGGUAGCCGGCCUGAGAGGGUGUACGGCCACAUUGGGACUGAGAUACGGCCCAGACUCCUACGGGAGGCAGCAGUGGGGAAUAUUGCACAAUGGGGGCAAGCCUGAUGCAGCGACGCCGCGUGGGGGAUGAAGGCCUUCGGGUUGUAAACUCCUUUCGCUAGGGACGAAGCGUUGUUGUGACGGUACCUAGAUAAGAAGCACCGGCUAACUACGUG
Molecule: ribosomal RNA, 466 nt
Filed under: uncultured bacterium
Lineage: Bacteria
Description: partial 16S ribosomal RNA
Rfam family: Bacterial small subunit ribosomal RNA
Source: RNAcentral